UGGGGAAUCUUGCGCAAUGGGCGAAAGCCUGACGCAGCCAUGCCGCGUGGAUGAUGAAGGUCUUAGGAUUGUAAAAUCCUUUCACCGGGGACGAUAAUGACGGUACCUGGAGAAGAAGCCCCGGCUAACUUCGUG
This 135-nucleotide ribosomal RNA is filed under the name uncultured Brevundimonas sp. RNAcentral describes it as "partial 16S ribosomal RNA". It matches the Rfam family "Bacterial small subunit ribosomal RNA", at positions 355 to 507 of the family's 1533-position model. The record is from RNAcentral. Lineage: Bacteria; Pseudomonadati; Pseudomonadota; Alphaproteobacteria; Caulobacterales; Caulobacteraceae.